ACGGGUGUAGCUCAACGGUAGAGCACCGGCCUCCAAAUCCGAAGGUUGCAGGUUCGAUUCCUGUCACCCGUGC
RNAcentral lists this transfer RNA (73 nucleotides) under Winogradskya consettensis. RNAcentral describes it as "Actinoplanes consettensis tRNA-Trp". It matches the Rfam family "tRNA". Rfam says of the family: Transfer RNA (tRNA) molecules are approximately 80 nucleotides in length. Their secondary structure includes four short double-helical elements and three loops (D, anti-codon, and T loops). Further hydrogen bonds mediate the characteristic L-shaped molecular structure. tRNAs have two regions of fundamental functional importance: the anti-codon, which is responsible for specific mRNA codon recognition, and the 3' end, to which the tRNAs corresponding amino acid is attached (by aminoacyl-tRNA synthetases). tRNAs cope with the degeneracy of the genetic code in two manners: having more than one tRNA (with a specific anti-codon) for a particular amino acid; and 'wobble' base-pairing, i.e. permitting non-standard base-pairing at the 3rd anti-codon position. RNAcentral also lists the same sequence under 1 other name. Lineage: Bacteria; Bacillati; Actinomycetota; Actinomycetes; Micromonosporales; Micromonosporaceae. The record is from RNAcentral.